RNAcentral lists this ribosomal RNA (174 nucleotides) under uncultured bacterium. RNAcentral's name for it is "partial 16S ribosomal RNA". It matches the Rfam family "Bacterial small subunit ribosomal RNA", at positions 335 to 526 of the family's 1533-position model. The record is from RNAcentral.
ACUCCUACGGGAGGCAGCAGUGGGGAAUAUUGGACAAUGGGCGAAAGCCUGAUCCAGCAAUGCCGCGUGAGUGGUGAAGGCCUUAGGGUUGUAAAGCUCUUUUACCAGGGAUGAUAAUGACAGUACCUGGAGAAUAAGCUCCGGCUAACUCCGUGCCAGCAGCCGCGGUAAUAC